Molecule: ribosomal RNA, 626 nt
Filed under: Ciliophora sp.
Lineage: Eukaryota; Ciliophora
Description: SSU rRNA
Rfam family: Eukaryotic small subunit ribosomal RNA
Source: RNAcentral
CUACCAUGGCGUUUACGGGUAACGGAGGAUUAGGGUUCGAUUCCGGAGAGGGAGCCUGAGAAACGGCUACCACAUCUAAGGAAGGCAGCAGGCGCGUAAAUUACCCAAUCCUGAUUCAGGGAGGUAGUGACAAGAAAUAACGGACCGAGGCCCUCGGGCUUCGGGAUUGCAAUGAGCCGAAUUUACACCCCUUAGCGAGGAUCAAUUGGAGGGCAAGUCUGGUGCCAGCAGCCGCGGUAAUUCCAGCUCCAAUAGCGUAUAUUAAAGUUGUUGCAGUUAAAAAGCUCGUAGUUGGAUUUCUGGGAGGGUGCCAAUGUCCGCCGACGUGCGUGCGCAGCGGCGCCCUCUCAUCCUUCUGUUAACGUCUCUCGGCAUUCACUUGCCGGUGGCGGGCUCAGAUAUUUUACCUUGAGAAAAUUAGAGUGUUUCAGGCAGGCUAGGCCGGAAUACAUUAGCAUGGAAUAAUGGAAUAGGACUUCGGUCUCUUUGUUGGUUUGAGGGACUGCAGUAAUGAUUAAUAGGGAUAGUUGGGGGCAUUAGUAUUUAAUUGUCAGAGGUGGAAUUCUCGGAUUUGUUAAAGACUAACUUAUGCGAAAGCAUUUGCCAAGGAUGUUUUCAUUAAUCAA